GGCAGGGAAUGUGUUACGGCUGAUUCGUAAUCAGCAGGUCGCCGGUUCAAGCCCGGCGGGUGGCUCCA
RNAcentral lists this transfer RNA (68 nucleotides) under Bryobacteraceae bacterium. RNAcentral's name for it is "tRNA-Thr". Lineage: Bacteria; Pseudomonadati; Acidobacteriota; Terriglobia; Bryobacterales; Bryobacteraceae. The record is from RNAcentral.